UACGUAGGGGGCAAGCGUUGUCCGGAGUUACUGGGCGUAAAGCGCACGCAGGCGGUCUCUUAAGUUUGGAGUGACAGUUGGUGGCUUAACUGCCAAAGUGCUUCGAAAACUGAGAGACUUGAGGGCUUCAGAGGGACACGGAAUUCCGGGUGGAGUGGUGAAAUGCGUAGAGAUCCGGAGGAACACCAAAGGCGAAGGCAGUGUCCUGGGGAGUACCUGACGCUCAGGUGCGAAAGCCAGGGGAGCAAACGGG
This 253-nucleotide ribosomal RNA is filed under the name uncultured bacterium. RNAcentral describes it as "partial 16S ribosomal RNA". It matches the Rfam family "Bacterial small subunit ribosomal RNA", at positions 524 to 776 of the family's 1533-position model. The record is from RNAcentral.